Molecule: non-coding RNA, 824 nt
Organism: Zootermopsis nevadensis
Lineage: Eukaryota; Metazoa; Arthropoda; Insecta; Blattodea; Termopsidae
Source: RefSeq, a predicted model, not a curated record
UUGUCUACGAGCUAGUAGACCCAACACGUUAAAGGUUUAGCAGUGCCUAGAAAACGCCCACACAAAUCUGCCAGAGAGAAAUCGUGCACAAAUAAGGCUUGCGAAGAAUCUGUACACCAGCAAAGGCAGUCGAAGGGGCAACGCUGGCAACCGCCUAGAGCUUCAGGUUCUCACUCAACUACACCACGUCCCAUAGUUCUGUACACGGCAACUUUCCUCGUCUCUUAGCAAACACGCUGGUUCACGUUUGUGCCUGUGAACGAAUAGGAACUGUAGCAGAAUGGUUCAAGGCGGUGAGCGUAGCGCGUCCACAUCUGUUUUGGAGCAAGGCUCCAGGGAUUCAAGCUCCAGAGAUUCCAGCUCCAGAAAAGCUGGAUUCGAUGCCAUUCGGAAGAAAGCACAAGAUGAACAAAAAACACAUGAUCGUAAGAGUACCCAACAUGGUGCUUGGGGGCCAGUGUUUAAGAAUAAGCAACAUUUUGUGAAUAUGCAUAACUGUUAGCUUUGUUGUUGAAACUGUGUAGUAAGAUAGUUUUGUAGUUUACAAUGGUCACUGGUUAGACACUACUGUUUGUUCUGAUUCAUAACCAAGUAGUGUUGUCAUUCACAAUUCAGUAUGUAAAUAUAUUAAUUAAUGUGUGGUGGAAUUUUAACAAAUGUAUGCAAAUGUAUGUGUACCUUGUAAAAUUGGCUGUAGUGAUUUUUAAAUACUACGUUUGAUAGGAUUAUAUUCCUGUGUUAUAUUUUCCAGUACGACAAAAAAUUUUGUUUUGAUACUGGAUUUGGAGGAAACGUGAGAGAAAUUAAAAUUACUGAAAAUACUA